CGUUAGUCUAGAACACAGGCUCUGUGUCCUCUGGGUCCCUGCAAUUCUCUUUUGGGGUCAAUUUCUGCUCAUCUGUCAGCACGUUGAUUCAUCCGUAUUCCCAGUGAUGGACUGAGGUUGCUUCCAGUAUCCCUUCCCAUCAUACCUAUCACUGCAAUGAAGUGACCAAGUGGUUGUAUAUUGCACUCCACUUUACAAAUGAAAUAAAACACUGGGAGAAGACAUACAUAAGAGAAAAAGCAUUGCUCUCAGCUUUUACGCCACUUCCGAGUUUAUUUGGGACUCUGUCCUCUACCCAGACAUCGGUCAUUUGAGAUCCG
Nyctereutes procyonoides (raccoon dog) is the source of this 320-nucleotide long non-coding RNA. RefSeq lists it as uncharacterized. The record is from RefSeq and is a predicted model, not a curated record. The transcript has 3 exons. NCBI's taxonomy places the organism in Eukaryota, Metazoa, Chordata, Mammalia, Carnivora, Canidae.